ACGCUCGACACCUACGGAGGCAGCAGUGGGGAAUAUUGCACAAUGGGGGAAACCCUGAUGCAGCGACGCCGCGUGAAGGAAGAAGUAUCUCGGUAUGUAAACUUCUAUCAGCAGGGAAGAAAAUGACGGUACCUGACUAAGAAGCCCCGGCUAACUACGUGCCAGCNCGCCGGUAAUCUGAGCGGGCUGGCAAGGC
RNAcentral lists this ribosomal RNA (196 nucleotides) under uncultured bacterium. RNAcentral describes it as "partial 16S ribosomal RNA". It matches the Rfam family "Bacterial small subunit ribosomal RNA", at positions 328 to 539 of the family's 1533-position model. The record is from RNAcentral.